RNAcentral lists this ribosomal RNA (485 nucleotides) under uncultured bacterium. Its description in RNAcentral is "bacterial SSU rRNA". It matches the Rfam family "Bacterial small subunit ribosomal RNA", at positions 28 to 506 of the family's 1533-position model. The record is from RNAcentral.
GACGAACGCUGGCGGCGUGCUUAACACAAGCAAGUCGAGCGGUAAGGCCCUUUCGGGGGUACACGAGCGGCGAACGGGUGAGUAACACGUGGGUGACCUGCCCUCAGCUCUGGGAUAAGCCUGGGAAACCGGGUCUAAUACUGGAUAUGACUCCAUGACGCAUGUUGUGGGGUGGAAAGCCUUGUGCGGCUGAGGAUGGGCCCGCGGCCUAUCAGCUUGUUGGUGGGGUGAUGGCCUACCAAGGCGACGACGGGUAGCCGGCCUGAGAGGGCGACCGGCCACACUGGGACUGAGACACGGCCCAGACUCCUACGGGAGGCAGCAGUGGGGAAUAUUGGACAAUGGGCGCAAGCCUGAUCCAGCGAUGCCGCGUGUGUGAAGAAGGCCUGGCGGGUUGUAAAGCACUUUUCAGUAGGGAAGAAAGCCGAGCGCUAAUAUCACUCGGUCUUGACGUUACUUACAGAAGAAGCACCGGCUAACUCCGU